UAUCUCUGUAGAGUCUGCAUAUCAAUAAGCGGAGGAAAAGAAACUAACAAGGAUUCCCCUAGUAACGGCGAGUGAAGCGGGAAGAGCUCAAAUUUGAAAUCUUCAAGGUUUGACCUUGACGAAUUGUAGUUUAAAGAAGUGUUUUCGGUUAGAGGAGUAGUAAAAGUUCUUUGGAAUAGGACAUCAUAGAGGGUGAGAAUCCCGUAUUUGACCGUUACUUUCCUAGCUUUGUGAUACAGCUUUCAAAGAGUCGGAUUGUUUGGGAAUGCAGUCCAAAAUGGGUGGUAAAUUUCAUCUAAAGCUAAAUAUUGGCGAGAGACCGAUAGCGAACAAGUACCGUGAGGGAAAGAUGAAAAGAACUUUGAAAAGAGAGUUAAACAGUACGUGAAAUUGUCAAAAGGGAAGCGUUUGACACCAGUGUUGUUUUUCCGAAAAUCAAUUAAAAAUUGAUUCAUGCCAGGUUGUAUUGACCUUAUCAGCUUGCAAUUUGGUUUUGGGUCUCUUUUUGAUGCACUUUUCGGUUAACAAGGUCAACAUCAAUUUCCUUUGCUGUAAAAAGGUAAGAGGAAGGUGGCCUCAAUUUCGGUUGAAGUGUUUAUAGCCUUUUAUCUCUGCAGUCGGGGAGAUUGAGGUCUGCAGCGUAGAUCCUUCGGGGCUAGAUACAUUUAUGCUAAGUUAUAGCUUUUCAUAGACAACUUGUUGACUAUGUUUAGUCAUGUAGCUUACUCGUAAGUGCUAUUUUACCUACGCUUAGGAUGUUGAGCGCAUGUCUCUCUCU
RNAcentral lists this ribosomal RNA (778 nucleotides) under uncultured Neocallimastigales. Its description in RNAcentral is "partial large subunit ribosomal RNA". It matches the Rfam family "Eukaryotic large subunit ribosomal RNA", at positions 24 to 634 of the family's 3401-position model. The record is from RNAcentral. Lineage: Eukaryota; Fungi; Neocallimastigomycota; Neocallimastigomycetes; Neocallimastigales.